GUGGAUUAGAUACCCGAGUAGUCCACGCUGUAAACGAUGUCAACUAGCCGUUGGUUCUAUAUACAGAAUUAGUGGCGCAGCUAACGCAUUAAGUUGACCGCCUGGGGAGUACGGCCGCAAGGUUAAAACUCAAAUGAAUUGACGGGGGCCCGCACAAGCGGUGGAGCAUGUGGUUUAAUUCGAUGCAACGCGAAGAACCUUACCUACCCUUGACAUCCAGAGAAUCUGUUAGAGAUAGUAGAGUGCCUUCGGGAACUCUGAGACAGGUGCUGCAUGGCCGUCGCCAGCU
This 289-nucleotide ribosomal RNA is filed under the name uncultured bacterium. RNAcentral describes it as "partial 16S ribosomal RNA". It matches the Rfam family "Bacterial small subunit ribosomal RNA", at positions 773 to 1060 of the family's 1533-position model. The record is from RNAcentral.